This is an RNA transcript of Zea mays, 732 nucleotides long. It is a transcript of the gene named cysteine--tRNA ligase pseudogene, with no coding region annotated. The transcript is spliced from 4 exons. The record is from RefSeq and is marked validated. NCBI's taxonomy places the organism in Eukaryota, Viridiplantae, Streptophyta, Magnoliopsida, Poales, Poaceae.
GCUUUUUACCAUCCAUUGGCUUUAAGAUUUUUCUUGAUGCGCACUCAUUAUAGAUCAGAUGUGAACCAUUCUGAUCAAGCACUUGAGAUUGCAUCUGAUCGUGUCUAUUACAUUUAUCAGACUCUAUAUGACUGCGAGGAAGUAUUAGCUACAUAUCGUGAAGAGGGUAUUUUUUUCUCAGUGUCGUUCGAGGAGCAAAAUCUGAUUGAUAAGCACCAUUCAGAAUUCUUGAAAUAUAUGUCGAAUGAUCUUAAAACCAUAGAUGUUCUGGAUCGUUGCUUCAUGGAGCUACUGAAGGCCAUAAACGGCAGUCUGAAUGAUUUGAAGAAACUGCAACAGAAAAUAGAACAGCAAAAGAAGAAACAACAACAGCAGAAGAAGCAGCAACAGAAGCAACAACAAUUGCAAAAACAACCAGAACAUUAUAUUCAAGCUCUGAUUGCAAUGGAAAUAGAACUUAAAAAUAAACUGUCUAUACUUGGUCUGAUGCCAUCUUCAUCUUUGGCAGAGGUAUUGAAGCAAUUGAAGGACAAAGCACUAAAGAGAGCGGGGCUGACUGAAGAAAAAUUGCAAGAGCAGAUUGAGCAGAUAAACGUUGCAAGGAAGAAUAAACAGUUUGAGAUAUCUAAUGGAAUUAGGAAAAACUUUGCUACCAAGGGCAUCGCCCUGAUGAAUGAACCUUCUAGUACAGUGUGGAGACCAUGCGAACCAGAGGGAUAUGAAGAGUCAUGA